AGUGAACGCUGGCGGUAGGCCUAACACAUGCAAGUCGAACGGCAGCACAGUAAGAGCUUGCUCUUACGGGUGGCGAGUGGCGGACGGGUGAGGAAUACAUCGGAAUCUACUUUUUCGUGGGUGAUAACGUAGGGAAACUUACGCUAAUACCGCAUACGACCUACGGCUGAAAGCAGGGGAUCUUCGGACCUUGCGCGAUUCAAUGAGCCGAUGUCGGAUUAGCUAGUCGGCGGGGUAAAGGCCCACCAAGGCGACGAUCCGUAGCUGGUCUGAGAGGAUGAUCAGCCACACUGGAACUGAGACACGGUCCAGACUCCUACGGGAGGCAGCAGUGGGGAAUAUUGGGCAAUGGGCGCAAGCCUGAUGCAGCCAUACCGCGUGGGUGAAGAAGGCCUUCGGGUUGUAAAGCCCUUUUGUUGGGGAAGAAAAGCAGCGGGUUAAUACCCCGCUGUUCUGACGGUACCCAAAGAGUAAGCACCGGCUAACUUCGUG
RNAcentral lists this ribosomal RNA (492 nucleotides) under uncultured bacterium. RNAcentral describes it as "partial 16S ribosomal RNA". It matches the Rfam family "Bacterial small subunit ribosomal RNA", at positions 29 to 507 of the family's 1533-position model. The record is from RNAcentral.